Molecule: long non-coding RNA, 5238 nt
Filed under: Pan troglodytes (chimpanzee)
Lineage: Eukaryota; Metazoa; Chordata; Mammalia; Primates; Hominidae
Description: long non-coding RNA NONPTRT000971
Source: RNAcentral
CAUGGUUGGUAGGGAGAGGACAGGGUUAGCCCACACUGAUGGCCAGCCUGCCACCCCCUAGGCCUGAGCAGGAGGAGGGAGGUGGUCACACCCCACCCCUGCCCUGGCUUUGGUGGUGGUAGUGAGCAGUCCCUUCCCCUUUGGAGUCACCAGCCCCUUCCCCUUUCCCCAGGGCUCAGGCCCUGGCCCUUUGCAGGUGGGGCCCAAGGCCAACGCCUCCAUUCCCAGUGCCAGUUCCCACAGCUCCAGGAUGGCCAGGCCCCGCUGGGACUUUCCCUGAGGCUCCAUCUCCUGAAAGUGAGGAAGCGCCCAGGAAGCUGGCAGCACUGCUCCCCACGGUGGGGCAGGGCCAGGCCACUUGCAACACACCUGGGGGUGGGGGAAAGGUGCCGCGAGACUUCUGGUUCCUGCCCCACCCGGCGAGCUGCCGGGACCACAGGGACAGAUGUACACAUGCACACUGAGUCACCACCCCUCCCUCGCCUCUUGCAGCGUGGGUGGGGGCGGGGGAAGCACCGGCUGGGCUGACCGAGGAGAAACCAGAUUGUUCCGGAUUAAAGUUCAGUCCUCACAUACACCUCAGGGACUGGGGCCUGAGAAAGGCAAAGGGGAAGGAGCUGGCGACUCCAGCCUUCAGCAUGGGACAGAAAGCGCCGGAGUGAAGCAGGUUCCCCAGGAGCCUUUCAGUCUGAAAGUGAAAGGAUACUGCUUUUCCUCCCAAGAUGGCAAUUCCCCCAAAUGCCUCUUCACCCCAAGGCAGAAAGACCAUCAGGAAGAUGCUAGGGGACUCUUAGCAAGGACAGCUGAGUAAGGCAUGGGCCCUGCCUUGGUCUCAGACGAGGCCGCGCCCCACCCACAGGUGGCUGCACCCAGAAGGAAGCCUGGCGGGGCUCCUGGGCUGCCGCAGCUCUCCGUUCCUCUAUCGGAAAAUGGGCCCAGCAGUCUGCAGCUUCCUUAAGAGGGGUCAGUCAGUGGGACAGCUUUCCUGGUGGCUUCAGGCCAAAGAUGGCCCUGCAAAGUAGGGGUUCCAACUGGAUUUCCUGAGGGAUGGGGGACUGGGGCUUGGGGCUCCCAGGUAACACUAGGUGUCAUGGAAGAGCUCCUAGGACCAGCAGCCCCAUGUCUCACUGCCCCCUCAGUGAACAGCUUAGACUCUCACAUUUGGCAAAUAAAACAGAAUAAAUGUUACGCAAAAGAGGCAAGUCCAGGGCCAACCACAUCCUGUGGGUGUCUUUAAUGGGAGUGGGGGAGGUAAGGGGUGAUAGCUGGAGCCCUAAGAGAAGCUAGGGAGGGAGGUGGGGCAGCUGGGGGCCAUGGAGGCUGUUUGGGGGCAAGACUGGGGCACCAGGGUCUGAAGGUCUCUAAAUUGUAGGGGAGACAAGGUCCAGCCCAGGGCAGCACUCAUCCUUCCCGGUCCCCCUGCCACAUCUGCCAGCCUGCUUAUAAUAAAAGUUCCCAUUUGCUGAGAGCUGUGAACCAGGCCCUGUUAUAAGUGUCUAACACUGAAUCAUCAGCAAGCUUGUGAGGAGGGCACUAUAACAUCAUCAACUCCUUCCCUGUUUUUCAGAUGAAAACUGUGGUCCAGAGAAGGCAGCUUAGUCACCAGGGUCACACAGCAGUUAACGGUGGAACAGCGACACAAGCCCAGGGCCUAUGCUUAUCACCACCCUGUACGUCAAUGCUCAGGCAGGUACGAAGGCAGGCACAGACCCUGAUCGCAGGGAAUGAGCAGGGAUUCGCAGGCACCGAGCUCCCGCUGGUGGCCAGAUAUAUGGCUUCAUUCUUACAGGGCUUGCUACCGUGAAGGAAAGGAAGGUCACCUGGCUAGUGGUAAGAGACAGUCAGAACUCGAACCCAGGUCUGGGCCACUCGGUUGCCUUCCUGUCUCUAACAGAAGAUCCAGAAUUUAUUUGGGAGAACAAAGCUCCCAAAAUUGAGUUUGAACAAAGUGUGUUAUGAGAGACAGGUGGCGAAUGGGAGAAACAAUGCUGCUGGAAAACUCCUGCUCUUCCUUCAGAACCCUUGUGAGAUGUCACUGCCUCUGAGAAGCCUUCCCUGACCUGCCACAAUAGGUCAGGUCCCUGGUCUGUGUCUUCACAAUGCCCAGUGCUUCCCCCAUCACAUCACCCCCCUUCCUUGGGCCUUCUGGCCUGCCUCUCAAAACCAUGGCAGCUGGGUCAUCCCAGGCCUGGCUCCUUGUCUCAGGUAUGCAGUGUGCGCAUGUAUCCGCCCACCCGCCUCCCUCCGGGCACAUGAUCCUAGGCUAGUAUCUUGGAGCACUGGGAACUAAUGGGAUGCCAGGGCUCUCAGGGCAGUGCGCUGCCUGUGGGCACUGAAAAUCUUGGCUGGGGACAAGUCGGUUCUCAGCAGCCCUAGCACCUGAAUAUUCCCUCAGCAGAUGGAAAAACUGAUCAGUGGGCGCUAUCAGAGCCCUCCUCCUGGUAGAGCACAUGAGGCCUGGAGUGCCCCCCUACAGCUAGCUUUAGUCUCUUUCACUGCACUGGAGGAAGGGCUGCUGGCACAGGAAAACCAGACAUCCCUGCCCCCAUUCCAGUUCUCUUUGCCUGUAAGGUCAGGGUCCCCCAGCCGGGCUAAGCAGACACUGAUAGGAUGUGUGUGUAGAAGACUCCAGCUAGGCUGCUCCUGCCCCAGGACAGAAGGCAGGGCUGGGCCAGCCUCCCCAGGUGAAAAGAUAUGCCUGGGCUGGGCCUGGGGAGUGGAAAAAAAUUCCCUUAGAAGGAAACAGAGGUGAAUUUCCCCAUGAUUUGCAUAUGAUGGGGGGGCUAGCCCGCCUGCCCCUGGGGAGGGUGGGUGGCCAGGCAGGAACCGAGUAGCAGCUGAGACAGGAAGUUUGAGGCUGGAAUUCCCCUCCUGCCACUACCCCAGCUCAGAAACCCCCGAGGUGGGUGCGUGGCUCUGCUUCUCAGGAACAGGCUCCUCUGAGCACCCCUCAUCACAGCCCCUCCUCCCAUGUCCCUCCUUCUUCUGGAUACAAACACAUACUGCACAUGGCUGCUCCCAGAGCUCAGCCGCUCCUGGCCCAUACCUCCAGAGGAAGGAGUCACACAGAUCCAACCUAGCUCCUAGCCCAGCUACAUGAGGCUGGACACUGAGAGGGACCCCCUCUAAUCUCGAAGCACGGGAUGUGACCUGCUGCCUUUUGGCAUGGAAACUGGAUUUUCUCAGCCUCCCAUCCAGGCUCAGCCCAAGUCAGAGAGAGGAAGACUGGCCUGAAGGUGACAGAAGGAGGGAAGAGCACUCAGCUGCAUGCCUGCUGAGCUGGGCCAGGGCCAGCUGGACAGUGAACUUGUCCCACAGGGGCCACAAAUUAGGGAGGGCAGAGGCUGAUGUCAUGCCAGCUGUGGGCAGCCCACCUAGGAGCUCCCUCAGGGCAGCCAGAAAAUCAUCCCUUCUCAACCCUGUGUCUGGGGUCUCCCCGUCCAUGCCAACAGGAACUUUUCCCUGUGAGCCAUCCACCCAGCACUGACUCAUCAGCCUGCCUUGGAGGGAAGUGGGAAAAAAGUGGGGCCAGAGGGUGGAGCCUGGAUUGACGGGAGAAGUCUGGGUUUCCCAAGGUCAGCAGCAGCCCUGGCUUCCCUCUCUGCCCCUACCCCCCCACCCCAUUCCUGUGCUGGGGGAUGGGGGUGGGAGUCACUGGGGGCUGAGUCCUGGCUCUGGCCCCGGGGAACCUCCAGAGACUGGUCCAGCCCAGGCUGCUUCAGCUGAGUCAGUAGGGAUCCAAGUUGCAGCUCGCCUGAGGCCAGAGCAUCAGGCCACCUGCCCACAACCCAUGUAAAGCUGGACCCAGCCUUGAGGUCACUCUUGGACACAGUCACUGGACCUGUUUUCGUGGGAGCCCAGGUCUGAGACAAGAAGGCCUCAGAAGCCCAGCCCCUGAAAUAACAACAACAACAACUGCUACUACCACUGCCUACUACCACUACUAUGGUUCCUGAACGCUUGCUCCUCUCCGGGAUCCGCACACUCCCUCCUCACAACACCCACCUGAGAUCAGGUUCCGAGGGGUGAGUGAGCAGCUGCCCACGGGCUGGUCCCCUUUACAGCCCUGCCUCACAUUACAGGAGAGGAGUGGAGACACAGUGCUGGCCUCAGGGAGGGACCCACAGCAUAAGACCAGUCCCUAAGAAGGAAGUCACUUCUUCCAGCCCACCAGAGCUGCAGAGACAGUCAUCCUUCCAUGUGUCCUGGCCACAGGAGAGAUGCGAACCUAAUGUGUCCUGGCCACAGAAGUGACACUUACCUCAUGGCCACGUUGCUCCCAUCGAUGACCACUGGUCUCAGGUCGCUGCCCUCCUUUUCCUCUUCUGGGAGUGGAGGCUCCAGGUUGGGAGCCUUAGGGGUGCCACCACCCCGUGGGACUAGAGGGAGCUGAGGGCAGGGGUCCGGUGAGGUCUGGUGCUCCCGCUCGGUGGCUGUCCCGUGUUUCACCAGCUCGCCCAGCACCGUGUUGGUGUCUGCCUGGACGCCCAGCUUCUGCAGGACGCUGUGGAUCUCCGUGGAUGAAUAGCCCAGCUUCCGGAAGAAGUCCACCUUCAUCUGCAGUUCCAGGGCCGAGGCCUCCUCAGCGGCCGGCUCUUGACCCGGCCUGGGGGUGCCCUGACGGCUGUGGCUGUCCUCAAAUUCCCACAGACUCAUGGUGGGGCUGGCUUCCAGGACAGGCUUCUCUCCACAGGGGCCACUCAUAGCUCAGACUCCUGGAAGGCACCGCGCCACAGCUCCUACUGAACAACCAACAGGGUUAGGGACGGUGAAUAGCGCUCUCUCCUAACCUCCCUCCCAAAACCACACCCAGCAGGAUGAGGGAUUGGUGGCACUACACACUACAUCGUGUUAUUAGUUCAGGUUGUCCUCUCAAAAGCUCUCCCAGCUAGGCAUUCCCAUUCCCAUUCUAUAAAGGGAGAAACUGAGGCACAGACAUUAAAAACUUGCUCAAGGUCAUCCAGCUGUUAGCUGGUGGCUCGAAGAUCGGAACUUAGUCUGAACUAAGACUGGAACUGCCCCAGCUGUAAAGCCUCGAACCCCCACGCCAACCCAGGGGACCCAGAAGGCAGGGACGGGGCUCUCAGAUGGAAUCCUGGGGCUGGAAGUGCGUUGCGGGGCCCAAGGCUUCCCCACUGAGGCCAUCACUUUCGCCCACCCGUCCGGCACUCAGAGCUCAGGCCCAGGCAGCGCAAGGCCCAUGGCCGGACUCCCGGAGCCGGGGAGGGCAAGUUUCCG